Molecule: long non-coding RNA, 338 nt
Filed under: Elaeis guineensis (African oil palm)
Lineage: Eukaryota; Viridiplantae; Streptophyta; Magnoliopsida; Arecales; Arecaceae
Description: long non-coding RNA (EGUI_LNC081194)
Source: RNAcentral
CUCUCUUGACCGACCGUCCAGGCCACGGCCGACACGACGAACCCGACGGCAGAGGGGAGGCGACCUCUCGAGCUCGGAGAGGCAAGGCCGGCGGUCGGUUUUGAUCGCCGGCGUCGGAAAACCAAAGGGAAGAAGAGACCAAAACAGGGGAUCUAUUCUCCGACCAAAAAUCGGCGACAUCCGUCGCCGGCAGUCGCGCACAGAGGCACGGGAAGAAGGGGAAAGAAGAGAAGAAGAGGAGGAAAGCUUAUUUCGGCCUCCGGUGACCCUGCCGGUGAGUAAUCACGGUGAGAACGAAACAAGUAUCCGCGGCUCCAAUUCAAAAAAAUCGGAGAGGA